Molecule: transfer RNA, 70 nt
Filed under: Dipodomys ordii (Ord's kangaroo rat)
Lineage: Eukaryota; Metazoa; Chordata; Mammalia; Rodentia; Heteromyidae
Rfam family: tRNA
About the family: Transfer RNA (tRNA) molecules are approximately 80 nucleotides in length. Their secondary structure includes four short double-helical elements and three loops (D, anti-codon, and T loops).
Source: Rfam by way of RNAcentral
GGGAAUGUGGCUUAGUGGUAGAGCGCUUGUCUUGCAUGCAUGAGGCCCUGGGUUCGAUUCCUCAGCACCA